AGCUGUACCAGAUGCUACAUUU
This 22-nucleotide microRNA is filed under the name Monodelphis domestica (gray short-tailed opossum). RNAcentral describes it as "mdo-miR-7371m-5p". Lineage: Eukaryota; Metazoa; Chordata; Mammalia; Didelphimorphia; Didelphidae. The record is from miRBase by way of RNAcentral.